AAAAGCUAUGCUGUGAAACUUGUGUAACACACAGGAAUUUUAUGGCCUGGAGUUCACUGCAAUAGCAAACAAUCUUCCAUUGCAUGCAUUGGAAAUAACCAGCUUCUAUUUACCAGUCUUCACUGUUAACUGCACCUACGGGAAGCAGGCAAACAGUUCUCAGAGGAAAAGGAAUAAGGGGAAUAAGGAAGAUUAAACUGACGUUAACUUCCAUGCUGUCUGGCUGGGAUGAGCGCUGCAAGUGAGUGGUAAGAAAUUCUUCUAAGACUUUCUAAUGCAGCACCCAGAUUUCCUUAACUUCUUCCACUGAGCCCUCACAAUUUAUAAAACCCAG
Molecule: long non-coding RNA, 334 nt
Filed under: Coturnix japonica (Japanese quail)
Lineage: Eukaryota; Metazoa; Chordata; Aves; Galliformes; Phasianidae
Description: lncRNA (ENSCJPG00005010091.1)
Source: RNAcentral